Molecule: ribosomal RNA, 253 nt
Filed under: uncultured bacterium
Lineage: Bacteria
Description: partial 16S ribosomal RNA
Rfam family: Bacterial small subunit ribosomal RNA
Source: RNAcentral
GACAGAGGGUGCAAACGUUGUUCGGAAUUACUGGGCGUAAGGCGUGCGCAGGCGGCUUGCUAAGACAGGUGUGAAAGCCCCGAGCUUAACUUGGGAAUGGCGCUUGUGACUGGCAGGCUGGAGUGUGGCAGAGGGAGGUGGAAUUCCACGUGUAGCAGUGAAAUGCGUAGAGAUGUGGAGGAACACCGAUGGCGAAGGCAGCCUCCUGGGCCAACACUGACGCUCAUGCACGAAAGCGUGGGGAGCAAACAGG